This 272-nucleotide ribosomal RNA is filed under the name uncultured bacterium. RNAcentral describes it as "partial 16S ribosomal RNA". The record is from RNAcentral.
CUGCUGCCUUCCGUAGGAGUUUGGGCCGUGUCUCAGUUCCAAUGUGGGGGACCUUCCUCUCAGAACCCCUACGCAUCGUCGGCUUGGUGGGCCGUUGCCCCACCAACUACCUAAUGCGCCGCAUGCCCAUCCGUGACCGGGGUCGCCCCUUUGGCCGGCAGGGGAUGUCCCCUCCCGGCAUUAUGUUGUAUUAGGCGGGAUUUCUCCCGGUUAUCCAUCUGUCACGGCCAGGUUGCAUACGUGUUACUCACCCGUGCGCCGGUCGCCGGCGG